UACGGGGGGGGCAAGCGUUGUUCGGAAUUACUGGGCGUAAAGGGCUCGUAGGUGGCCAACUAAGUCAGACGUGAAAUCCCUCGGCUUAACCGGGGAACUGCGUCUGAUACUGGAUGGCUUGAGUUUGGGAGAGGGAUGCGGAAUUCCAGGUGUAGCGGUGAAAUGCGUAGAUAUCAGGAGGAACACCGGUGGCGAAGGCGGUGGUCUGGGCCGGAACUGACGCUGAGGAGCGAAAGCGUGGGGAGCGAACAGG
This 253-nucleotide ribosomal RNA is filed under the name uncultured bacterium. RNAcentral describes it as "partial 16S ribosomal RNA". It matches the Rfam family "Bacterial small subunit ribosomal RNA", at positions 524 to 776 of the family's 1533-position model. The record is from RNAcentral.